GGACGAACGCUGGCGGCGUGCCUAACACAUGCAAGUCGAGCGGAGGUACAAUGAGAGCAAUCGAGAUGUACUUUAGCGGCGGACGGGUGAGUAACGCGUGAGCAACCUGCCUAUCACAGGGGGAUAAGGCGGCGAAAGCCGCUCUAAUACCGCAUGAGACCCUCAAAGCGAUGCAAUGGGGGUGAAAGGAGCGAUCCGGUGAGAGAUGGGCUCGCGUCCGAUUAGGUAGUUGGUAGGGUAAGGGCCUACCAAGCCAAUGAUCGGUAGCCGGCCUGAGAGGGUGAACGGCCACAUUGGAACUGAGAGACGGUCCAAACUCCUACGGGAGGCAGCAGUGGGGAAUAUUGGGCAAUGGGCGGAAGCCUGACCCAGCAACGCCGCGUGAGGGAAGAAGGUUUUCGGAUUGUAAACCUCUGUUCUUGGGGAAGAGGAGGAGACGGUACCCAAGGAGGAAGCCCCGGCUAACUACGUGCCAGCAGCCGCGGUAAUACGUAGGGGGCGAGCGUUGUCCGGAAUGAUUGGGCGUAAAGGGCGCGCAGGCGGCCUGUCAAGUCAGUAGUGGAAGUCCAUUUUUCAAGGAUGGAAGUGCUAUAGAAACUGAUGGGCUUGAGUGCAGGAGAGGUUAUCGGAAUUCCCGGNUGUAGCGGUGAAAUGCGUAGAGAUCGGGAGGAACACCAGUGGCGAAGNNNNGUAACUGGACUGCAACUGACGCUGAGGCGCGAAAGUGUGGGGAGCAAACAGGAUUAGAUACCCUGGUAGUCCACACUGUAAACGAUGAAUGCUAGGUGUAGGGGGUAUCGACCCCUNNUGUGCCGAAGUAAACACAAUAAGCAUUCCGCCUGGGGAGUACGGCCGCAAGGUUAAAACUCAAAGGAAUUGACGGGGGCCCGCACAAGCGGUGGAGCAUGUGGUUUAAUUCGAAGCAACGCGCAGAACCUUACCAACCCUUGACAUGGGUAUCGCGGAUCCAGAGAUGGAUCCUUCAGUUCGGCUGGAUACCGCACAGGUGCUGCAUGGCUGUCGUCAGCUCGUGUCGUGAGAUGUUCGGUUAAGUCCGGCAACGAGCGCAACCCACACUUUCAGUUGCCAUCAUUCAGUUGGGCACUCUGGAAGAACUGCCGGUGAUAAGCCGGAGGAAGGUGUGGAUGACGUCAAGUCCUCAUGGCCCUUACGGGUUGGGCUACACACGUGCUACAAUGGUGGUGACAAUGGGUUAAUCCCCAAAAGCCAUCUCAGUUCGGAUUGGGGUCUGCAACUCGACCCCAUGAAGUCGGAAUCGCUAGUAAUCGCGUAACAGCAUGACGCGGUGAAUACGUUCCCGGGCCU
Molecule: ribosomal RNA, 1326 nt
Filed under: uncultured bacterium
Lineage: Bacteria
Description: bacterial SSU rRNA
Rfam family: Bacterial small subunit ribosomal RNA
Source: RNAcentral